GUAGGUGGCAAGCGUUGUCCGGAUUUAUUGGGCGUAAAGGGGGCGCAGGCGGUUUCUUAAGUCUGAUGUGAAAGCCCACGGCUUAACCGUGGAAGUGCAUUGGAAACUGGGAAACUUGAGUACAGAAGAGGAAAGUGGAACUCCAUGUGUAGCGGUGGAAUGCGUAGAUAUAUGGAAGAACACCAGUGGCGAAGGCGACUUUCUGGUCUGUCACUGACGCUGAGGCCCGAAAGCGUGGGUAGCA
Molecule: ribosomal RNA, 244 nt
Filed under: Aerococcus mictus
Lineage: Bacteria; Bacillati; Bacillota; Bacilli; Lactobacillales; Aerococcaceae
Description: partial 16S ribosomal RNA
Rfam family: Bacterial small subunit ribosomal RNA
Source: RNAcentral